AUGUAGCAUGUAGUAUGUAGUUGUAGUGUUGUACUAUGUAGGGUUUGUAAAUUUCUUUUUUUUUUAAAGUAGGGUUUGACAAACCCUACUUUAGUUUUUUUGAAUGUAUGUAAUAUGUAUUAAUUUUAUUUUGUAUUUGUAAUGUUUUAUUGCAGCAAACUUCACUUUAUUAUUUCAAUUUGCCUCAACUUCAAGUUUCACAAAACUAUCCUAAAAUGUCUACUUCAGCUUCUAGACCCCCCAUUAGAAAGGACCCUGCUUGGAAAUAUCAUGAGGAUUUUUCAAGGCAAGGAAAGGGGCAAACAAAAUGAAUGUUUUGCAAAACAAUAUUCCAUGGAGGUAUAUAUAGGCUGAAAUACCAUAUUGCUGGUGUGCGUGGACAUGAUGCCGAACCAUGCCUAAAAGCAGUCCUUGAGGCCGUACGUGAUUGUUAUGUAAUGGUUGAGGAGAUUGAAAGGAAAAAGAAACAAAAGGAGGAUCGAGCGGCCAUUGGGAGAGAGACAGUUUUAGGAAGAGGGGCACAGUUAGGUUGUGUUGGAGGCCCUUCUUCCUUACCUCCAUAUCGUCCCACUCAGUUUGCUACUAUCGGUGCUUCCGUUUCUGAUUCUGCUUCUAUAAGUGGCAGUGCCACCGCCACUUCUCAUGCUCCUACCACUAGUAGUUGUAGUGGGAAUGUUACCAUUGGACCUAGGAUUCGUAAAUCUAGGUUGGAUUCCUUCUUUGUGCCUCGCACUACUCCUGGGUCCCAACCGUCGCUUGAGGGCAUGGGUUGGAACAAAGAGGUCCAUGAUGCUGCUAAAAUGGCAGUUGGCAGGUUUUGGAGCUACAGCUGUAUUCCAUUCUUUGUAGCCAGGUCUCCUUAUUGGCAACAAAUGGUUGAUGCCAUUACCAUAUGCGGGGCGGGGUUCAAAGCCCCUAGUGAGAGUGAUUUGAGGGGACCCAUUUUGUCUCAAAUGGUGGAUGAUGUGAAAAAGGAUUUAGAUGAACAACGCCAGAUAUGGAGCACUAAAGGUUGCACCAUCAUGACUGAUGGUUGGACGGAUAGGAGAAAUAGAACUCUCCUUAAUUUUCUUGUUUCUUCCGCAUGUGAUUAAUUAAUUUUAGUUUCAUAUAGUCUUUAAUUUUUUAUUUUUUAUCUAAUGGUUUAUUGAAUGAUCAUCGACCUAGCUUUAUUUUUUUAUUUCAGGGGGCACCGUUUUCAUCAAGUCCAUUGAUGCCUCCGCCCAUUGCAAGAAUGCCACCUACCUAUGUGAGCAGAUAGAGGAGGUGAUUGAAGAUGUGGGUGAGGAGAACGUGGUACAGGUGGUGACCGACAAUGCAGCAAAUUAUGUUGCUGCGGGUAGACUAUUGAUGGAGAGGCACCCAUCUAUAGUUUGGACUCCAUGUGCUGCUCAUUGCAUUGACCUCAUGUUGGAGGAUAUUGGAAAAAUCCCAUGGGUCAAGAGAUGUGUAGAAAGGGCAAGAAAUGUCUGCAAAUUUGUAUAUAAUCAUUCAUGGGUGUUGGCUCUUAUGAGACAAUACACAGAGCAGAAGGAGUUAGCUCGUCCAGGAAUCACAAGAUUUGCCACAAACUUCCUCACAUUGCAAUCCAUGCUUAGGUCUAAGUCUGCCUUGAGACGUAUGAUUGUUGGUGAGGAGUGGUCUUCCUCAUCCUAUGCUACCACCCCUGCAGGGAUAGAUAUGGCAGACUGCAUUUUUGAUGAGCAAGGCUUUUGGGUCCCUUGUGAUGAGAUAG
Molecule: RNA transcript, 1735 nt
Organism: Cryptomeria japonica (Japanese cedar)
Lineage: Eukaryota; Viridiplantae; Streptophyta; Pinopsida; Cupressales; Cupressaceae
Exons: 3
Source: RefSeq, a predicted model, not a curated record